This is a non-coding RNA of Cajanus cajan (pigeon pea), 625 nucleotides long. The record is from RefSeq and is a predicted model, not a curated record. Lineage: Eukaryota; Viridiplantae; Streptophyta; Magnoliopsida; Fabales; Fabaceae.
UUGACACCGGUGAAAACAUAAGGCACAAAAUGAUGACACCCAAAUCCAAGACUGAUUUAGUUUACACCAAACCGAAGAACCAUCAAGAAUUCAAUGACAAACCACAAGUUUGACAAUAAGCAGUUUAUUUAUAAGAGAAGUUUGCCAAAUGGUGCUUUCCACUCCAAAUCUUAGAUCUUUCACUGGCAUGGGUUUUCCUUGUCACCAAUUGUCCAGCACAUGCAAUCUUUCUUUUCUUGAAGAAGUAAAUAUUAACAAAUUUCAGCUGGAGAGAAGUUCAAUUGUCAUAAGAUGGCUCCAAGUGCUUGCCAAUGUAAAAAUAUUUACAUUAACUUCAAUUAUACUUCAGCUAAUACUACAUGUGAUAUUUCAAGUUCCCUUUCUCUUAAAGAAUAAAGACAGAAAGAUCCAGCCCUCGAGAUGAUAAAUAUAUGAUCUUUCAAGGAUAGUUAACUUAUUAGAAGGGAAAAGAGAGAAAACAAUGUGUUUUUCGUUCCUAUUUUCCCUAACAAUUGAAUGAGGUUUUUCUUUCUUCUCGGGGGAUUUUUUUUUAGAAAGUGAUUUACAUUUUUCACGUGAUAGAGAUGUUAAAAUAUUAUUAUCACUGGCAGAUCUACGUAUAUUU